AUACACAUGCAGUAUAUAUAUGUAAUAUAUGUAUAUUAUACUGUAUGUAUACAUUUUCCUAAACAUUCAGCAUAGGGUAUAUAAUAACAUUCAUAAAUUCUUAAAAUAUAAUCUAAUUCAUAUUAAGGUUUGUCAAAGGAAAAGAAGUUAGUGAGGAAGAGCUGAAAGAAACUCAGAAUGAUAAAGAAGACAGAGCUAUAGAAGAAGUAAGAAGAAAUAAAGAACAGAGGAAGGAAAUUUAGAAAGAAAUGGGAGAGAGAAGAAAUGCAAAGAUGGGGAAGAGAGACAGUGCUCUAGGGAAAAUUCAUCAUGAAAAUAGAAGAGAACAAGACUGUCUGAAUGAGGGAAGGAUAGAGUACAUUUUCUUAGAUCCUGAGGUCAAUUUUAAUGAGUUAACUUGUUUUUGUUUUGUGGCCACAGACCAGUUAUUUAUUUGAACAGUAGGUUUUAAAUUUUACUCAUACCUCGGAAAUGCUCACUGCAUGCCAAUCCACUGUUCUCUGAUUUUUUAAAACUGUUUGUCUUUAAAUGUUCAGAGAUGCCUUGAAGAAAGAGAUCCUAACAGUCUGUAGGGAGAGAGUAAUUUCCUGGGCUGCUGAGAGUAUGCCUAAAAUAUUAAUUUAGGAAUAGAAUAAAAUCAAACUGGAAACUACUCUGGCCUUUGCACUGGAGCUGACAUUUGUUAUGGAAGAUACAUUCCUCUAGAACUGCACCUCCCGCCCCCAACCAAACACACACAUUAAAAAAAACAAAAA
Sapajus apella (tufted capuchin) is the source of this 755-nucleotide long non-coding RNA. RefSeq lists it as uncharacterized. The record is from RefSeq and is a predicted model, not a curated record. The transcript is spliced from 3 exons. NCBI's taxonomy places the organism in Eukaryota, Metazoa, Chordata, Mammalia, Primates, Cebidae.